Magnolia sinica is the source of this 2712-nucleotide RNA transcript. RefSeq lists it as uncharacterized. Lineage: Eukaryota; Viridiplantae; Streptophyta; Magnoliopsida; Magnoliales; Magnoliaceae. The transcript has 14 exons. The record is from RefSeq and is a predicted model, not a curated record.
CGGCCCCUGUUUUCGGCUUUUUAGGGCGGGAGAGUUGUGAGUACGAAAGCAACCGAUUGAAAGGGGGGAGAAGAGGAAGAAGGAAAGAGUAGGCGAAGUGGUUGCGGCGAUGGGUAAAAGCGACGAAUCCACCAAUUCUUUAAGCGCCUUGGACAUCGACAUCGACAUGGGCUUAGAUGAUCCUGCACCCGCCCCAAAGCCAUCCAGAUUCCAGCCCAAGUUCAAACCCAAGCUCAAACCCAAAGGAGAAUCCACACCGGCACCACUUCAUUCUCUCACUCCCAAGAAGGAGGAUGUCGAUUUUCCUCCCCUCAAUGUCCCCAAACAGGUCAAAGAGGAGGACGUUGACGAGAAGAAAGCAAUGGACGUUGGUGUCAAAGCAGAAGUUGAAGAGAAACCAAUGAUGGUGGUUGACGCGAAAGAGGAACAAGAUGAGGAAAACGCAAUGGAUGUCGAUAUCAAUGUUGACACUGAUGACGGUGAUGAAGAUACAGUUGUAAGAGAAAUCGAUGUUUUCUUCACUCCUCUACUCGAUACCAGCACUCAGCUAUAUCUUAUGCAAUAUCCUUUUAGGCCCUGUUGGCGUCCAUAUGAAAUCAAUGAAAGAUGUCAAGAGGUUAGGGUACAGCCUAAACAAUCAAAACUUGAAGUUGAUUUGGAGAUGAACGUUGAUCCAGACAUAUAUAAUGAGGAGGUUCCAGAGCCUUUGAGGAUGCAAAAGCAGACGUUGACAUCAUCCAAGGCGCCAUAUGUAACUAGCUAUGCUGUUGGGAUUCUAACAGGCGAUAAGUUAUACCUGAAUCCUAUUCAUGCAGUUGUGCAGCUUCGAUCAUCAAUGGCAUACUUGAAUGCUGGCAAGUUUCGGAAGAAGUCCAAUGUUAUUGGGAGUUCAGAAAUUACAACCAAAUCUGGUGAGGGAAAGCUGGCGUCAGAAGCAUCAAAUGAGCUAAAGACGGAAGACAUAGAGGUGUCAUGGCUUCCACUUGAAUAUCAUGCUAUCGACAGCUCUAUUUCAAGCCGAUAUCGACUAAACAUGGUUGCGGAAGAAAGUCGUCAUUUACAAUUUUCCAUGAGCUUGUAUAAUUAUGGGAACUCUAUAUGUCCAGGAACGUCUAAUAACAUCAGGAGAUCAAAAGGCCCUCCAAGAAGGUUCUUGCUUAAAUUACCAUUGGAAGAACGGUUCAAGAGGUGGCUUUCUGAGGGGCCUCACGUGCAUCGCUUUGCUGCGCUUGUGCAUCUUGCUCCUGAAAACUCUGUGGAAGAUGUUCUGAAGGUUCUUCAGCAGCAUGCAGACCUAGUACAGGGGUUGUGGGUUUCGAAAAGCUCAUUGCGAUGCGAAGGUGUCAAUGCUCUAGCCAGAGAUUACAUUCUUCUCUUAUUUAGCAAGAAGAAAUUCAUCCACCGGGACCAGUUAAAGGCAUUGAAAGUUCCCAGCGACAUUAUGAAAGAUAUCCUGACAUCAUUGGCUGUUGAAAGAUCUCUCUUUAGUGAUUGGAAAUUCAAGGAGCCUGAAGAUUGCUUAUUUAUGAAGGCUCAUCCAGAUAUUGUGGAGGUGCAGAAGAAAGCAUGGUCAAGUCGUGAAAAGAAUAUCUCAGAGGCUAUUCAUGGGGUUGGAAGAAAAGGUACGGCAACAGUGCCAAGGAAUCCUCUGAAUCCAGGUAUUGGUGGUAGGGGUGCUGCUUCCAGUAAUAUUGAUCAGAGAGCAAAAGGCAGUCUAGACGGAAUGCAGAGCUCUAGGACGACCACUAUGUCUGAUGAAACUCGAGAAGCUCUUCCUAAGGCACUUCUGGAACUUUUUCAUGUUCAUAAAGUUUGCAGCUUGCAACUGAUUUCCCAAGGUUUACGGGAUAUGGCAGUUUCCAAAUCUAUUCAUCCGAAAGCAGAUCCUAGAGUAGCUGUAACUGCAGCCCAUGGUGCCAAUGCCCCACUACCUGAGCUCCAGUCUGUUAUAAGUAAAGUUGCUAUUAAUAUUCAUGGUGUCUACGUUUUGAAGUCGCUGGGCAUUCCAACGAUCGAUCCACUGAGGAAUGUUGUCAUUAAUCUUUUCAUGGGCAAGGAACCCAAUGGAAGGCUGAAGAAAGCAGAUAUUGUUGAAGCUGCUAGAAUCAAACUUAAAAGGGAAAUUUCUCCAUCUGAAUAUAAUCAGGUCAUGGCUGAACUCUGUAUUUCUAGAGGUGGUGCAUGGGUGCUGAAAAGUGGUGAUGGGAAGCCAUGAUGAUGUUCAUCGUAUGGCAUCUCAAACUGACAAUCAAUUGAUUCUUUUCCCGCAAUUUUCAAAGGGGACGUGCAUCUUUUCCAGUUCCACAGGAAUACUACACACGUGAAGUCAUUGCAGCAGCCACAAGCUGCUCAAUUAGGUGAUCUUUCUUUUCAGCCUUCUGGAGAUUCUUGAUAACAAUGUUAGUUGGGCAAGGCUCAAUUGAAUUUCUAGACUGGGAAUCUCAUAUUCCCAGUAUUGUUUAGCUUUUGUUAUGCUUUGUUGAUGAGGAAUGGAAAUGCUGUGAACCAAUAAAAUCGUCUGCUGUCCUGCCGCAGUUGGUAGAGGGUAUAUAGUUUCCAUCGGCUCAAUGUAUUGGAUAAUUGUACAUAUGUAUUCCUUGGAUGGUUUUCCACCUUGGUUGGAUUUUUGAAAUGAGUUCCCUGCCUGCAUUUGAAACUCUAAUUUAUUCAAGCGUUUAAUGAUUGUGGAUAAUAUAUCUUUGAAUUUUUUUA